AUCCAGCUGAAGAGUCUCAAAUAGGACGAAACGAGCGACCUGGAU
Non-coding RNA from Schistosoma rodhaini, 45 nucleotides. NCBI's taxonomy places the organism in Eukaryota, Metazoa, Platyhelminthes, Trematoda, Strigeidida, Schistosomatidae. The record is from Rfam.